CGUAGGGUGCGAGCGUUAAUCGGAAUUACUGGGCGUAAAGCGUGCGCAGGCGGUGAUGUAAGACAGAUGUGAAAUCCCCGGGCUCAACCUGGGAACUGCAUUUGUGACUGCAUCGCUGGAGUGCGGCAGAGGGGGAUGGAAUUCCGCGUGUAGCAGUGAAAUGCGUAGAUAUGCGGAGGAACACCGAUGGCGAAGGCAAUCCCCUGGGCCUGCACUGACGCUCAUGCACGAAAGCGUGGGGAGCAAACAGGAUUAGAUACCCUGGUAGUCCACGCCCUAAACGAUGUCAACUGGUUGUUGGGUCUUCACUGACUCAGUAACGAAGCUAACGCGUGAAGUUGACCGCCUGGGGAGUACGGCCGCAAGGUUG
RNAcentral lists this ribosomal RNA (370 nucleotides) under uncultured organism. Its description in RNAcentral is "bacterial SSU rRNA". It matches the Rfam family "Bacterial small subunit ribosomal RNA", at positions 526 to 896 of the family's 1533-position model. The record is from RNAcentral.